Molecule: non-coding RNA, 3493 nt
Organism: Podarcis lilfordi (Lilford's wall lizard)
Lineage: Eukaryota; Metazoa; Chordata; Lepidosauria; Squamata; Lacertidae
Source: the annotation of a GenBank genome assembly
AUGGGCCCAGGGGGAGACUCACCUUCCCCUGACAGGGCUGGGAGAGGCGCACCUGCAGGCACUGUGUCCUCAACCACCUCUGGAGCUAGAGUGGAUUCACCUGGUGCCUGCUCCUGAGGAUCCGGCACAGGUGCAGGCGCUUCAGAAACAAGGCCCUGCCCCAGUUCAGCCGGCCCUGGAGGCGGGGACUCCUGUGCAGCCUGGGGUUCCUCCGGUUCAGCCUCUGAAUCGGAUUCCCAGGCCAUCACACCAGGGCUUUUUGUAAGCAAUCAGAGACUGCGCCUGCAUGCAGCUAAAAGUCUCCUCCACCCUUUUCAUGCCUCUUCUGGUUCUGGGAGACAAGAGGAAAGGGGAGCUUGUCACAGCAGAAGCAGGAGACACCCAGGACUCUUCAUCAGCCUGACUCAUCUCUGCCUUUUGGCCUCCCUCACCCCAGUCUCUUGCUUCAGGUUCUGCCUCUGAUUCUGGACUUUGCCACAGACUCUCCGAGCUCACUAAGUCCUGUUACUGCUUUAUCUUCCAACACCUCCUCUUCCCCAUCUUCUCUCUCACCACUCAUCACUGUCCCACCACCCCUCUUCGAUUUCUCUGAGCCUUCUUCCCUUAGUGGUUCCCCAGCUGCUUCCUCCCGCCAUUCCUCUGCAUCCAGCCAGUCCGUGACAGGUGGACUGUGCUCAGCUUGGCGGCUCACAAAUUGCACAGAGCCGACUAUUAUAGGUUUCCGCCAUUCAGUCAAUACCAGUCCUUACAGGUUGUGAUUGACCCCUCGGCCCUGCUUUCAAUAGUGCAACUCUGCGUUGUCAUAAAUUGGUCACUCUCCUUCCUCACUUAAUUUAUCUCUCUGCCUAAUCUCUCUGGCUGCCGAGCAAAUCUUUUCCGAGUUUCUACAUUGGUUAAAAAUAACUUGCCCCUGGCUUUCGAGCAACAUAGGAAAGAUUCCAGUUGGUAUUUGAGAUGAGGUGUGUGCUGAGUUCAAAGGUAGGAUCAAAGCUUUCUCGGAACAGAAAGCAGCUUGCUGAAUCUCAUGCUGUUUGCCGGCUGCAGAUUGGAAGACUGGAGCAAUGAUUAAUUGGAGGACUUGGUGCUUGCCGAAAAUGAGAAUGCAGAUUCACCUGGGGAUGCCCUUCCUCCAUGCUUGACCUUGCACCAUCUUUCUAAAAAGGUAAAAGGCAAAGGACCCCUGGACAGUUCAAGUCCAGUCAAAGGCGACUAUGGGGUUGCGGCGCUCAUCUAACUUUCAGGCUGAGGGAGCCAGUGUUUGUCCACAGACAGGUCGUGACUAAACCGCUUCUGGUGCAACAGAACACCGUGACGGAAGCCAGAGCGCACGGAAAUGCCAUUUACCUUCCUGCCACAGCAGUACCUAUCUAUCUACUUGCACUGGAGUCCUUUCGAACUGCAUGGUUGGCAGGAGCUGGGGCAGAGCAACGGGAGCUCCCCCCAUCACAGGGAUUUGAACCGCUGACCUUCUGAUUGGCAAGCCCAAGAGGCUCAGUGGUUUAGACCACAGCGCCACCCACGUCCCUCUACCAUCUUUCUAGCAUCAGCUAGCCUAUAGGAGCCAAUCCCUGCAAUGGGGAUUCUCCCAUAUUUAUACACAUGAGACCCCAAAAGGGGAAAAUCUCAGAUUCAAAUGGCAAAAUUUGAAAAUUUCCCAUGCAAAAUAUGAAUGGGUGUGGUCAGAGAGUCUGCUAGGUUUUGAACAUCUGUGCAUGAAUUCUGUUCUAGAAAAAAGAAAAAAUGGAGCUAGCCAACCCAUAUGAUGCACGUGAUGUUGGAGAUUCAUUCCCCGUGUCUGCAGUCAUGGGAUUGUUGACUAUCACAUGACGAUGUAUGUUUACAUUCCACAGUGUGGGAAGUGACGGAGACAGGAUGUUUAUGUUACUGUGUUCCGUGAAGUGGGACUAUUGUCCUUUGUUCUUUCUCUCUCUGCUGUCUGAUGAGAAAGAGCUAAAGCAGAAUGCUCCGAGUGUGUUAUAUGUAAAUAAAAGUAGAGUAGCCAAAAUGCUGAGCUACUGAGGUCUGUUACGUAAACUGUGACUACUCUGUGGAUCCCUAAGUGUGCUGAUGUCUCCAAGGCAUCAAUUGCUGUGAUGUUCGGGUUGGAGAAAGCUUUUGAAGCUCCCGAACGAUCGACCAGGAGGGAGAGAACAUGCCAGUCAGGCAUGUGUCUCUGGCAGGGUCCUACACGAGAGUAGGACGCUCCUAAUACCUACACCAUCUCAAGGGUCCUCCAUGAAUCAGGACUGCCCAUUAUUUCCUUGGCAAGAAGUGGAGCAGUCUGUUGCUUUUGAGGUUGGAGAGGGUGGGAAAAAGAAAUGGAGUAGGCAGGCUUGGUGAUCUGCAGGUUGGAAACAGCUCAGCUUCUGGGACUGCAAUGUAAUUAAUGCCCAUUCACUUUUAAAGCUCGCUCCCUUUUCUGCACAGGCUCCUGUAAUGGCUUUAUAGAUUGACCUAUUCAGGAGAGAAGCUGAGCAACUGGAAGUAUGGCUGUGCAUUUAAAGGAGAACCUAUUUGGCGGCGUCUGGUAAUCCAAAUAUGAUUUAGCCUCACUACUUUUCUGUCUCCCUGUUGAAAUUUCUCCUGCUUCUUGCCUGUUUCAUUUCCCACAUGCUGCUGUUCAAAUCCCUAACUGGUUUAUUUUAACUUCAAAUGGUUCCCCAUGCUCCAGGGGCAGGAGGUGACCUUUCACAGGGGGAAGAGGGGUCCAGGUCAACAUGUCACAGCUUAUUCCCAUUUUAUGAGGAUUUUGGCUGCCGUGCCCCAUGAAACCAAAAAACCUGGCCCAAGGGAAAGGCUGAUGCUGUGUUUUAAGUGUGGUUAAGGUGGCUUGUUCUCGAAGCUACCAGCAUGAGUUUGACCAAACUGCGGGAGGCCGUGGAAGACAGGAGUGCCUGACUCCUCUCUGAGUCUGCACUCACACUGUGACUCUUUGCCUCUACACCUGUCCUGGAAGGGCCUCCUUCAUCUGACCCACCUCAAUCACUGACCCCCCAGCUUCUAGCAACUCCCAGCUCAUCCCUCCCCCAGACUGCUCCCCAGUGUCCCACUGUCAGGAAUGAGCCAGUUCCAAGCAAAGGUUUGAAGCCAACUGCAGAAAGCAGCCAGGAACAGAGAGACUUAGAUACUAGUCAGGCAAGGGAGAGCCGGCAGCUGCAGACUUUGGCUCUUCCUAACCUUGACGGGCAGACUGAUAAGGCAGUAGCCGAGAGCAGGCUAGAACACAGAUGAAGCUCACAGGAAGCACAAAAAGGCACAAAUAGACUCAGCCUCUCAGAACAGGAAGAGGUUGGAGUUGACCCACUAGGUCCAAAGAGUCGGUGGAUGGGACGGCUGCUAGAUAGGAAGCAAAACAAGAGAUGUAAGAGUCGUAAGUUCAAUAUCUUCUGUGGACACCGGAAGGAGUCUUCAGAAAGGUCAUCUUGAGUAAUGAUGUUGGAGGCUUUGUUAGAGCCAUCUGGAGCUAUUUGUUUGUUUUUGCAAUAAAUCUGCC